This 449-nucleotide ribosomal RNA is filed under the name uncultured bacterium. RNAcentral's name for it is "partial 16S ribosomal RNA". It matches the Rfam family "Bacterial small subunit ribosomal RNA", at positions 29 to 523 of the family's 1533-position model. The record is from RNAcentral.
AACGAACGCUGGCGGCAUGCCUAACACAUGCAAGUCGAACGAGAUCUUCGGGUCUAGUGGCGCACGGGUGCGUAACGCGUGGGAAUCUGCCCUUUGGUUCGGAAUAACAGUUGGAAACGACUGCUAAUACCGGAUGAUGACGAAAGUCCAAAGAUUUAUCGCUAGAGGAUGAGCCCGCGUAGGAUUAGCUAGUUGGUGUGGUAAAGGCGUCUCAAGGCGACGAUCCUUAGCUGGUCUGAGCGGAGGAGCAGCCACAAUGGUACGGAAACAGGGACCAGACUCCUACGGGAGGCAGCAUUGUGGAAUAUUGGACAAUGGGCGAAAGCCUGAUCCAGCAAUGCCGCGUGAUUGAUGAAGGCCUUAGGGUUGUAAAGCUCUUUUACGCGGGAUGAUAAUGACAGUACCGGGAGAAUAAGCUCCGGCUAACUCCGUGCCAGCAGCCGCCGUAA